Molecule: small RNA, 84 nt
Filed under: Salmonella enterica
Lineage: Bacteria; Pseudomonadati; Pseudomonadota; Gammaproteobacteria; Enterobacterales; Enterobacteriaceae
Also listed under: 2 other names
Description: RtT sRNA
Rfam family: RtT RNA
About the family: This family represents a bacterial cis-regulatory element known as RtT RNA. The exact function of RtT is unknown although it is thought that it may be involved in changing the cellular response in relation to amino acid starvation.
Source: RNAcentral
UAUCUCUCCGUACGGGGAAGGAUGAGAAGCUUCGACUAAGGUUCGAUUCGAGCGCAGCGACGAAUAAUCCUUCCCCCACCAUCA